GAAGCAUGCUAUGAAUUUAAUGGGAAUGAAUGUUUUUACAAGAUGAUUACUCAUUGCACACUCAAGUCAACGAAAAACGACGCAGAAAUCGACAUCACAGAUCUGUUUUGGCAUAGGAUUCCCAGACACAAUUUGGAUCGAAAUCUCAAAUCCUUCAAAUAAGCUAUGAUUAUGUUGCGAAUGAAAUAUAACUGUACAUGUAUGUACAUUCUCGUGCUUAUAAAUAUCGGCAGAAGUUGGCUUCUCAAUUCGACAUAGAAAUGCAUCGACAAAUGACAGAGCAAAAUAGAACUCUAGUUCUUGCUUACCUCCUGUUCGGCCUCCUCAUAUCUUCUCAAUGCGUUCAUUCAAUUGGCUUCGUGAAUCAUUAUGAAUCGGCUGAAUCCAGAGAAGCGCAACCGGGAAGAAAAUUCAUGUUCGUCGAUACAAUGAAAGGGAGAGAACAGGUGAGAGCUAGCGGUCGGAAGAAUCCUUCAGGACCGAACCCCAUUGGGAAUCGACACCCACCGUCAAUCCAAGGCUGAACCAAUGGCGUAUCUAUCAGUUGGUUGAAAUUCAUUUUGGAGUUCAAUCAGCUGAAAAUCUGUCAAAUUUUCGUUUGUGAAGAAGAUGAACACCGUUGAAUUUAUGGAGUAUUUUUUCCCUUGCGUUGGAUUUUGAUUACUUAUUUGAAUUUUUAGCGGAAUUUCCAGAUAAAUUAUUUAUAU
Cucurbita maxima (winter squash) is the source of this 707-nucleotide long non-coding RNA. RefSeq lists it as uncharacterized. NCBI's taxonomy places the organism in Eukaryota, Viridiplantae, Streptophyta, Magnoliopsida, Cucurbitales, Cucurbitaceae. The record is from RefSeq and is a predicted model, not a curated record. The transcript has 2 exons.